AGUACGUACCCGCCCCACCCCCGGGCGUCCGGCCCGGGCCGCGCUGCACCUGUUGCCGCCGGUGUUGUAGCUUCAGCCCGCGCACCUGGCUGAACCCCGCGUCCGCAGAUCUCAGCGCUGGAGCCCCAAGCCAAGCCAGGAGGCUGCAAGAAAAGAUUUGGGUUGCUUUCCUUUCAUCUUUGCUGCUGGACGACCCAAGAGAGUGGCCGAAUUACAUGAUUUCUGCACAUUGAAUAUUAACUUAAUGGCUGUGUCCUCUCCCCCCCUCCACUUGCAAUGCGGACUUUCUGAGGUGCAGGUGGAGACAAUGUUACACAGCACAUCUAUAAAUAGAAAGGCCUAGAAAUUGCCAGUGGUGCCAACACUGGAGGAGUCAAGGAGACAAUAUCCCAUGUGAUUUUGAAUGCGCUUCAUUUUCUCCCCGAGACUCAGUGAGCGUGUUAUAACCGAAUACUUAACUCCCUUUCAUCUUCUCUGAAAGACUGGAGCUUGUCUUGGACUUGCCCACCAUAGAGCACAGUUUUACUGGGUGUUAUUGACUUUCUUAAGCCUGCAUUCUAAAUAAAGUGCUGAUAUGAGUUAGAACACAGGGUACAGUCUCAGGUUUACAAUGCUUGAUAAUUGAGUCAAGACACGAAGAAAAUUCAUCCUCAGAAAUACCUGCCAUGAAAAAUGUCGUCUUGAACUUUAGAAUGCAGAGGUCUAACUUUUCUUUUAGAGAAAAAAGGUUUUUUCCCCCAAAUAAACAAACCACAAAGUGUUAUGUGGGCCUAAAAUACAUAAAAAAGGAUAAAAAAAAAUUUAGCUGCACUGCAUGAAAGGAGAAAGGGGAAGGUUUUCUUGUUCCCUGAAAUAACCCCAAGGCAGGUCACAAGAACCAAAGCUCCUCUGAGCCCAGCUGAGAGGCCGUUAGACCAGCUCCUCUCCAAAUACCAGUCACAUGGAAACCUGGCUGCAGAGCUCUGAGAAGAUGCCCUUCACCCAGACUCAGAACUCAGCCUACUCGUUAUCUCCCUGGCAACCAUGCUCUGGCCAUCUCGUCUCUCCUCACCCCUUCAAUUCCUGGUGAAAGUCACUCCGCUCCUCAAUUCACCUUACUACACCCCUGCUCUCAUCACCAUUUCCAUCAUCGGCCUUGCAAAUACUUCUGGAGCACUUAACACACAACACGUACAGUGUCAUUUCAUUUAGUCCUCAGUAUGCUACCAAGGGGUGGCUAUAUUAUUCAUAUUUUAAAAAGGAUAGUAACCACCACAGAUCUAUAAAGGGAUUUGCCACCUAAAAUAUGGCAAAGAUAAAAGUAACCCCCAAACAACCUGACUCGAAUCUUCUGGAGCCAUGGCUACUAAAUCCCAAGUCAUCUUGUUUAUCACUGAUUGUAGAGUAGGUGCCUAUGUGUUUACCUGUCUUUCUCUACAUGUAGUCUUGUUAGUUCUUUGAGAGUAUGAACUCUGUCAUAUCCAUUGCUGUAUCACUGUCACCUUAUACAACGCCUGACACAUCCAACAGGUGUUUAGUAAUUAUUAGGUGAUCAGGCUGCCAGCGCAUUUGCUUAAAAGGCUAAAACAACUUGUAGUGGUUAUUCAAAAGAGCAAAAUGAUAGAAAUACUAGCAUGAAAGUUAAACCUUAAGAUGGUGGAAAAUUUUUCAAUAAUUUCCUUUUUUAAAAAAAAGAUUGAUUUUUAAAGUCAGUGAGAGAGAGAGAGAGAAUCGAGAGAUCAAGAUUGUCCACCCACUGGUUCACUCUCAGAUGGUCACAAUGGUCAGGGUGGGGCUCAUCCAAAGUCAGGAUCCAUGUGAGUGUAGGAGCCCAAGGACUUGGGCCAUCUUCUGCUGCUUUCCCAACUGCAUUAGCAGGGAGCUGGAUUGGAAAUGGAGCAGUCAGGACUCAAACCAGCACUCAUAUAGGAUUCUGGUGUCACAAGCAGUGGCUUUACCCACUGUCGCUCCCCCUCUUCGCGGAGGAACGACACAGGACCCUGCACUGUUCUUUUGUCUGCUCGGCCCUCCCCGGGUUUGCUGCUGGUUCUUCCCGGGUUGGCUACCGUCCCUUCCACCUCCGUGGAAGGGCGGUUCCCCCUGCCACUUUCCCCACUUCCGCGGGGGAGCGGCACACCGCCGGCCGGCUCUCUCGGGGGCUGCUCAGGUGUUCCUCAUAGAUGUUCCUGGUGCAUGGUGUCUCUCUCCUCCUUUAUAGUCCUCCUCCACCAAUCCCAACUCUGCUACCCACACACUGAGCAUGCUGCUCUCCUCCAAUCAGGAGCAGCUCCUGCAGCUUGUCAAGUUGGUGAGAGGCAGCUGGGUAGAAGCUGUUUGCUCCUCUCCCAGCGCCAUAUUGUGGGAGAGCAGAUGUAUAGAAUAAGUCUUAAUUCCAGUAACAGUAUAGUCCGAGUUGCUCCCCACAACCCACUACACAAUACCAACCCCUAAAAAUAACUUCUAAUAGCACUAACUUUUCAACAUUUGGAAUGAAGACACUCUUGUAAGAAAACCUAAUUCUUAUAGUACCCAAAACAUCCAAAUUAACAUAAUCUUUUGGUAUAGGCAGAUAGGAUCAAAUUGAUUAGAUUUGUGAAUUGGCGACCACACCCCCUAUGAGCUCUCAAGCCCCUACCUGAUCUCACCUGCCCACCUGCCAAUGAGACCACGUAACCACCCCACUUUGGGAGUGGAUAAAAGUCCUGGAGCAUGGUGGGCCUCUCCCUUUUUUGGUUGUGCACCCUUGUUGUGCCCUUGCUGUCCUUUGGGCCACCAGCUCUCUGCUUUCCUGCCUGUAUGCUUGCUCCAUGUGGCUCCUGGCCUGCUCUUUGCCUGGUGUGGAUCCAACUUAGCUUCUAGACUUCUUUCUCCUCUAAUUAAAGCCCUCACUUCCCUGUGCAUUUCUCUCACUGAAUAAAAUCCCUAAAAACUUACCAUGUUGCCUGGUCUCAUUAAGCCAGUAUUCAGAAUUCUUCUCUGAAUAAAUGGCAAGAACCCAAGGGAUUAUUAAUAUGGAAAAUUAUUAAUAAACAGGACAAUAUCAUUUUGGGAAGGAAAUUUGACAAUUUCACUUUUUACAAGGUUAUCUUUAAAAAUAUUUCAAAAAACCAAAUAAAUAUACUUAUUACAGCAUUAUUUUUAUUGGAAACAGCUGGAAAUGGCCUGUUUUAAAAAAAGCAGAAUGGCCAAAAAUCACAGAAGUAACCAUAUGGUGAUGUUUUAUAAGACCCUCAUAAUUUGGCAUGGGAAGACAAUAACUUGAAAAUAUAGUUAAAUCAUAACAUGAAGUAAAGCAAAGAACUAUGAAAUUUGACCUCAGGCCUGAUUUCCUAGCUAUUGUUGACAAAUUAAAAGAAAAAAACAAAAUAAAACCAUUGUCCUUACUCUAAUUCUCUACCUUCCCUUAAAUAUCUCUGCACUUUAAAUUAUUUUAUUGUCAGCUAAAAUAAUAACUAUGUGGCACUCUCUCUCUACACACACACACACACACACACACAAUUAAAGAGCACCCAUCUAUUAUCAUAAGGGCAAUAAGUUACAUUCACAAAAUCCUUCAAGAAAUGAAAAAAAUUUUAGAGAAGCAAAUUGGUUUAAUUCCUGGAGUCCAGUUGCUUGUCACACUGUAGGUGGCCUGCUGUAUCAUGUGUAUACAAUACAGUGGCUUCUCUAAGGACAGUACACUUGAUAGCAGUUUACUUUCAUUUGUUUUGGGUUUUGAAAUAAGCUAAAUUGCCAAGCCUACCCAUAAUAUGCCUCCCUGUUCAAUAUCCUUGAAGUCAUUUGAUUUAUUUUCUGAGAAUCAAUAGCCUCUUAAAAGUCUAUUUAAAAAAUAUUAUCAGGCUGGCCUUGUGCAGCAGGAUAAGCCAUCUCCUGUGAUGCUGCCAUCCCUCAUGGGCGCCAGUUUGAGUCCUGGUUCCACCACUUCUGAUCCAGCUCCCUGCAAAUGUGUCUGGGAAAGCAGCAGACAUGGGCCCCUGCCACCCAUGUGGGAGACCUGCCUGAAGUUCCUAGCUCCUGGCUUUGGCCCCAGGCUGUUUCAGUGGAUGGAAGGGAUUUCUCUCUCCCUCUCUCUCUCCCUCUCUCUCUCUCUUUCUCUCUCUGCUCCUACCAUCCACAAUUUUGCUUUUCAAAUAAGUACAAUAAAUCUUAAAAAUAGGUAUUAUCAUUAAGCAGAUACCACCAGCACAUGAUAAAAAUUUCACACGGUAAUAAAAGAUAUAAAACAUACAAAUAAAAACGUCCUUCCAGUCCCCUGAGGUAAUCACUGACAUGUUCCCAUGUCAGUUUCUUUCCACAUUCAUAUGAAGUGCAUAUAUCUUUAUUUUUUAAAACAUAAACAAAGCCAUGAUCUACUGUUCAUAGUCCUGAGUCACACAAACCUCACAACAUAUAUUAGGAUAUUUCCAGGAUAGACUCUCAACCAGCAAUCAAGAAAAAAAAAAAAAAAAAAAACAAGUAAA
Molecule: non-coding RNA, 4439 nt
Organism: Oryctolagus cuniculus (rabbit)
Lineage: Eukaryota; Metazoa; Chordata; Mammalia; Lagomorpha; Leporidae
Source: RefSeq, a predicted model, not a curated record